GGGCGGAUAGCUCAGCGGGAGAGCGCCUCCCUUACAAGGAGGAGGUCAACGGUUCGACCCCGUUUCCGCCCACCA
Molecule: transfer RNA, 75 nt
Filed under: Bacillota bacterium
Lineage: Bacteria; Bacillati; Bacillota
Also listed under: 3 other names
Description: Firmicutes bacterium (anaerobic digester metagenome) tRNA-Val
Rfam family: tRNA
About the family: Transfer RNA (tRNA) molecules are approximately 80 nucleotides in length. Their secondary structure includes four short double-helical elements and three loops (D, anti-codon, and T loops).
Source: RNAcentral